Molecule: long non-coding RNA, 2406 nt
Organism: Diachasmimorpha longicaudata
Lineage: Eukaryota; Metazoa; Arthropoda; Insecta; Hymenoptera; Braconidae
Exons: 2
Source: RefSeq, a predicted model, not a curated record
UAUAAAAAUUCUGAUGGUGAUGUUUCAAGUUCACUUGGUGGAGUUCAACUGAUUUUGGUAGUUUCAAUCUUGUCUCGUUUUUGGGGGUGUUGGGCAAAGGAAAAAGGUAGGUCAUAAAAAUGUAGGUUUGUGUUGGAGAAGGUAUCGGCAACCUUCUCUAGCAAAAUGGGAAAAUUUAGAGUCAUAAAGCCCGGCUAGCAAGGGAUUAGGUGGCAGAGUACUGAGAGAGUGUUUUUUUAUUAUCAAGAGCUAUGGAUGGGGGCUGAAAUAUGGAAUUGUUAAAAUGAGGAAUUUUCUGAACAAAGGCUCCAUGGGGUUUUCCCCAACAGAUGUCAAGAAAGAUGUUUUUUCUCCAUCCGAUCAUCCGAGUCACUCAACGAUAAAAAAUGUAUAAACAAACUCAUCCUUUUUCGUGAUUGAAGCACGAAACAAUACUUGUCCCUUUGAUUCCAUUAUACAAAUAUUGCUUAGUGCUGCAAUGGAUGAUGAAAACUAUUCGGUGACGUUGAAAUCUUCAGAGAACAAAACUAUGCAGUUUGUUAUCAACUUAAUGCAAACAGGGACAUACAAACGCAUUUACGAUGCAAGAGUGAGCUUAUUGACCAGCGUCUUCCCUGAACUGAUCCACGAACAUCUGGGUGAUUCAGGCCUGAAUUCCUAUUCACUGGAUAUUUUUGGCAAUGUAACUACAACAUGGGAACGGUGUUUUUACACAGAGCCUUCAGCUCAUCUCACGUUUGACUGUCGUCAAUGUGGUGAAUACAUGAAACGGAGAUACAGCUUGUCUGUCAAUCACCGUAUCAUUGGCGAGAUAGGAUUCCAAGCUCUAACUCAAUGUGAAAACUUUAAUGAGCCUGGUACCUAUCAUUGUAUCAAUGAAUCCUGUGAUGAGUUUUGUACGGUAAACAUUGAUUAUCAAUCCCAAGUGUUUGUGGAAUUGGAUAUUCGACUAAAUGUUACUCACAAAACGGGAUUAGAAUGUAAAUUAUCUGAUUUACCAACGAUUAUUGAGUUGAAGUCCCAGAAAUAUCGAUUGGUUGGAAUCAUUGAACACAAACAUCAUCACUACAAGGCCUAUUGUUAUCGUGGAAUGACUCACUGGGAAAUACACGAUGAUUGUAGAGCCAAAAUCGACCGAUGUGAUAAGAACAAGAAGAUAGAACCUCAUGCUGCAGUUUACGUUCAUUUCAAUGCUCCUAAGCGAAAAAUAUUUCCACCAGCGAUGAGUGAACAAAAUGAAGAAGGAACAAUACCAGUAACGGAGAUGAACAACGUUAAGAGAAUCCGAACAGAACAAGUGAUAUCUAUGGACAAGUGUAACGAACGGACAUUGAUAAAAAGAGAAACAAAUAGGGAAGUUUUGGACGAUUCAGACACUAUAUCUCAUGAUAAUUGGCGAGGCAAAGAAGCAAAAGAAAUUGUAAUAGAUCAUUCAUUACCAUUUGAGAGUGACACAGCUGAUAGCAGUCAAUCUCUUGUUGAAGAAACCAUAUAUUUACUACAAAAAGGAGAAUCUCAAAGUGGAAUAAUCGUUAAUAAUACCAUUAUUAACAUUGUCAAAUCCUCCGCUUUUGAUGCAGUGAUCAACUUACUGUGGUGUACUCUGCGAAACAAUCCCGAUUACGCUGCUUUAAUCAACAAUUCAGAAGGAAAUGAGACAUUCGAAUUAAUCAAUAGUCUUCUUUCCAAUCAAUUUCACGAUCUCAUCUACAGGAGCAGGGCGCAAAUAUUGUUAUCUCUUUGUGACACUGACGUACGUUAUUCUACUGAGAAAAUGUGGUAUGACAUUCCAAUAUUAGAAAUCGAAGUAUGUGGUACACCAGCCGAUGUUUGAAGGAAUUGUCUUUUUAAUGAACCGAGCCAAUGGAAAAAGUAUGAUUGUACAUGUGGGAGCUAUAUCCAACCCAUUUCGAUCUUGGAGCCGAAUAUUCCUAAAUCAUUGAUCACAUUAAACAAGUUACUUUUACCUCUGGAGUUUCAUAAAGUUUUAAAAAAGGUGCAAUGUCGCCGACCUCUUUGAAGCAGCAGAUGCAAUGUACAGACAACACCCAAUUUCCAUCUAUUCAUUCAUUUGAAGCGAUCAACUAAGUGUUUGCUGGGGAAUGAAUUUAAAAUGAUUGAAAUGGGCGAUCAGUUUCAAAUUGCUGGGGUCAUCAGUGCAUUUCAUGACCGAUACGUGGCCUUUUGUUUAGUGAAUGGAAAGUGGUGGUUGUACGACAACCAGCAGCCAAACAUCCAAAUGACAUCAGAUGUAGAAUUCGUUGAACUGGUUGGAUUAGUUUAUAUUUUAAAAAGUGCAAUGAGUUGCUAAGCAUGUUAAAAAAAAUAUCAAUUACCAAAGUUAUUCUAUCAAAGAUGAAUAUUUAUUUGUUUUUCAAUAAAAAAAUAUAAUGAUUACAAAAUUUA